GAUGAACGCUGGCGGCGUGCCUAAUACAUGCAAGUCGAGCGAACGGACGAGGAGCUUGCUCCUCUGACGUUAGCGGCGGACGGGUGAGUAACACGUGGAUAACCUACCUAUAAGACUGGGAUAACUUCGGGAAACCGGAGCUAAUACCGGAUAAUAUAUUGAACCGCAUGGUUCAAUAGUGAAAGACGGUUUUGCUGUCACUUAUAGAUGGAUCCGCGCCGCAUUAGCUAGUUGGUAAGGUAACGGCUUACCAAGGCAACGAUGCGUAGCCGACCUGAGAGGGUGAUCGGCCACACUGGAACUGAGACACGGUCCAGACUCCUACGGGGGGCAGCAGUAGGGAAUCUUCCGCAAUGGGCGAAAGCUUGACGGAGCAACGCCGCGUGAGUGAUGAAGGUCUUCGGAUCGUAAAACUCUGUUAUUAGGGAAGAACAAAUGUGUAAGUAACUAUGCACGUCUUGACGGUACCUAAUCAGAAAGCCACGGCUAACUACGUG
RNAcentral lists this ribosomal RNA (497 nucleotides) under uncultured bacterium. Its description in RNAcentral is "partial 16S ribosomal RNA". It matches the Rfam family "Bacterial small subunit ribosomal RNA", at positions 28 to 507 of the family's 1533-position model. The record is from RNAcentral.